AAUUUUGACGGUAUUUGGAGAAGAAGCACCGGCUAACUACGUGCCAGCAGCCGCGGUAAUACGUAGGGUGCGAGCGUUGUCCGGAAUUACUGGGCGUAAAGAGCUCGUAGGUGGUUUGUCGCGUNGUUUGUGGAAUACCGGGGCUUAACUUCGGGGUUGCAUNCGAUACGGGCAUAACUUGANUGCUGUAGGGGAGACUGGAAUUCCUGGUGUAGCGGUGAAAUGCGCAGAUAUCAGGAGGAACACCGAUGGCGAAGGCAGGUCUUUGGGCAGUAACUGACGCUGAGGAGCGAAAGCAUGGGGAGCGAACAGGAUUAGAUACCCUGGUAGUCCAUGCCGUAAACGGUGGGCGCUANGUGUGAGUCCCUUCCACGGGGUUCGUGCCGUAGCUAACGCAUUAAGCGCCCCGCCUGGGGAAUACGGCCGCAAGGCUAAAACUCAAAGGAAUUGACGGGGGCCCGCACAANCGGCGGAGCAUGUGGAUUAAUUNGAUGCAACGCGAAGAACCUUACCUGGGCUUGACAUACACCAGAUCGCCGCANAGAUGUGGUUUCCCUUGUGGUUGGUGUACAGGUGGUGCAUGGUUGUCGUCAGCUCGUGUCGUGAGAUGUUGGGUUAAGUCCCGCAACGAGCGCAACCCUUGUCUUAUGUUGCCAGCACGUNAUGGUGGGGACUCAUGAGAGACUGCCGGGGUUAACUNGGAGGAAGGUGGGGANGACGUCAAAUCAUCAUGCCCCUUAUGUCCAGGGCUUCACACNUGCUACAAUGGUCGGUACAACGCGCNUGCGAGCCUGUGAGGGUGAGCGAAUCGCUCUAAAGCCGGUCGUAGUUCGGAUUGGGGUCUGCAACUCGACCCCAUGAAGUCGGAGUCGCUAGUAUCGCAGAUC
Molecule: ribosomal RNA, 887 nt
Filed under: Corynebacterium glaucum
Lineage: Bacteria; Bacillati; Actinomycetota; Actinomycetes; Mycobacteriales; Corynebacteriaceae
Description: bacterial SSU rRNA
Rfam family: Bacterial small subunit ribosomal RNA
Source: RNAcentral